CAGACUUUGAUCCUGGCUCAGGACGAACGCUGGCGGCGCGCCUAACACAUGCAAGUCGAACGAGCGAGAGAGAGUUUACUUUUUCGAGCGAGUGGCGAACGGGUGAGUAACGCGUGAGGAACCUGCCUCAAAGAGGGGGACAACAGUUGGAAACGACUGCUAAUACCGCAUAAGCCCACGACCCGGCAUCGGGUAGAGGGAAAAGGAGCAAUCCGCUUUGAGAUGGCCUCGCGUCCGAUUAGCUAGUUGGUGAGGUAAUGGCCCACCAAGGCGACGAUCGGUAGCCGGACUGAGAGGUUGAACGGCCACAUUGGGACUGAGACACGGCCCAGACUCCUACGGGAGGCAGCAGUGGGGAAUAUUGCACAAUGGGGGAAACCCUGAUGCAGCGACGCCGCGUGGAGGAAGAAGGUCUUCGGAUUGUAAACUCCUGUUGUUGAGGAAGAUAAUGACGGUACUCAACAAGGAAGUGACGGCUAACUACGUGCCAGCAGCCGCGGUAAAACGUAGGUCACAAGCGUUGUCCGGAAUUACUGGGUGUAAAGGGAGCGCAGGCGGGAAGACAAGUUGGAAGUGAAAUCCAUGGGCUCAACCCAUGAACUGCUUUCAAAACUGUUUUUCUUGAGUAGUGCAGAGGUAGGCGGAAUUCCCGGUGUAGCGGUGGAAUGCGUAGAUAUCGGGAGGAACACCAGUGGCGAAGGCGGCCUACUGGGCACCAACUGACGCUGAGGCUCGAAAGUGUGGGUAGCAAACAGGAUUAGAUACCCUGGUAGUCCACACUGUAAACGAUGAUUACUAGGUGUUGGAGGAUUGACCCCUUCAGUGCCGCAGUUAACACAAUAAGUAAUCCA
RNAcentral lists this ribosomal RNA (851 nucleotides) under uncultured organism. Its description in RNAcentral is "bacterial SSU rRNA". It matches the Rfam family "Bacterial small subunit ribosomal RNA", at positions 8 to 871 of the family's 1533-position model. The record is from RNAcentral.